CUUCAUGGUUAGGUCAUUGCAUCAACUUGUCAUUAAAGCAUUGCAAUAACUCAUAUAAGGGCUCACCACUAAGUUAAUAAAAAUUUGUGAUUUCAUCUCUUAGAUG
Capsicum annuum is the source of this 106-nucleotide non-coding RNA. NCBI's taxonomy places the organism in Eukaryota, Viridiplantae, Streptophyta, Magnoliopsida, Solanales, Solanaceae. The record is from Rfam.